UACAGAGGUCCCAAGCGUUGUUCGGAUUCACUGGGCGUAAAGGGUGCGUAGGUGGUCGGGUAAGUCUGAUGUGAAAUCUCUGGGCUCAACCCAGAAAUGGCAUUGGAUACUAUCCGGCUAGAGGAUCGGAGGGGGGACUGGAAUUCUCGGUGUAGCAGUGAAAUGCGUAGAGAUCGGGAGGAAGGCCGGUGGCGAAGGCGGCGCUCUGGAACAUUUCUGACGCUGAGGCUCGAAAGCGUGGGGAGCAAACAGG
This 253-nucleotide ribosomal RNA is filed under the name uncultured bacterium. RNAcentral's name for it is "partial 16S ribosomal RNA". It matches the Rfam family "Bacterial small subunit ribosomal RNA", at positions 524 to 776 of the family's 1533-position model. The record is from RNAcentral.